AGCAGCUUCGGGCUGUCUCUGUCUGAGGGCACGCAGCAAUGGGAGAGCAAGGCAGAGAAAAGCAGGUGCCCUGAUUACUUGCCAAGUCCACAUAGUUCUGGAUACAUCAGGAAAACCUCAGCCCCUGGAAAGCCAGGGCACAGAUCUGUCUAAUAAAGCCUAAUCUCCUGCAGGCUCUUCAGCUUUGCCUGGAACCAGUGAGCAGGGGGUGCAGUCCUUCCUGUCUCUACCCUGCCCAGGCCCCUUAAUCCUGAGCUUUCCGAGAACCAGAGGAUGUGCCACAGGCAGGGUCUGAAAAGAAAGUGAUUAGAGAGGAUUGCCAUGAGGACUGAUGAGAGAAAGGCUAGAAAGGGAAACAACACGCAAAGGGAAACUGGCAUUAUGUCAUGACUUUGUCUGAAAGCAGUUCAUCACUUCAGAUAAAGUCAGACACAAUCACAGAAGCAUCUGGCUGGAGAGGACCCGAGAGCUCAUCUCAUUUAGACCCUCACUUCUAGACUGGGUAUUGCUGUGAUGGAUUCAGGUUUUUGCAUCCUGCAUUCUGCACAAGCUUCUCUCAUUAUCAAAGGAAAAAAGUCGAGAGAGUGAAUGUGGAGCCUCAAGCAAACAUUUCUGAAAAUACUGCAUUAGACUUGUGAAUUGCAAAAUAUAUAGAUCACCUCCAUUUGCCCACUCACCUCCUGCCCUCCUACAGAAUAAGAGUUAUUUAUAUAACCUGAGGUGGGGCACCCAACAGUACUCCCUAUUCUUAUCUAGCCUCCUCUGCUUGGUCUUUCAUGCCAAAGCUGCAGGAGCAAACCAGGUCUGCCUUGAAGUUUGAAAGGUUCUGAGAUUUGGGUGUGAACGCAAGAUUAUAAAAGUCCUUCUUUCUCCUUCUAUCACUCUGGAUUAAUUGGUGGAAAGUUUUAAGGGCCAGAGCGGUCUCUAGGUCUCAGAUGAAUGCUCUCUGUUUGCCUCUUGGAGCACUGUCUUCUAGAAAGCCUGGCUCUCCAGGGACAGUCCCCUCCUCACUGGCUGGGCAGGGAUCUUGGUGUACCCAACACUUGAGGCCUCCCUAGUUCCCCAGACUGUCUUUUUUGCCUCCAGGUUAGCCAUGGGCCAAGGCAUACUAAAAUUUCUCUUCACAAGGAUACCUAGGAAAAGAGAUCCUACACUACCUAGAGAUCCAAAUUCAUAUUUGUCAUUAGGUUGGUAAACUCUGCUCUGUUUUAUCUUCACCUCUCUCCUUCUUGGCUUCUAUGGGAAUAAUAUAUUAAUUCUUUAGCAUUUAUUAAAAACGCUGCCCGAUUUGGUUGCGUAAAUUAACGGAAACUAUGGCUUCUAAUUCAAAGGUCAGGGACAUUUUGAAGAAUCAAAAAGGGAAGGGUUCAAGGAUGUGUCCACAGCAGAGUGCAUUACCAGUAGGGGUCAGGCCCAGUAGGCACUGUUGUCAAGGGCUUUGGUCACUUGGGAGCAGCCGUCAGACUGGCACUGAUAGGGGUGGGAUAGCACAGCCCACAGACACCUGUCCAUCUGCUUGACAGACACAGAGCCCAGUCAAUUGAAGACAAGCUGUCUGCCUCACUAUUCUGUACAUGAAUAGAUCUGACUUUUCCACUAGUUAGAGUGGAGGACAGAAUUUUGGUAUAUAUGGACAUUAAGAGCACCGAAGUGUUAGUGUCAGUGGAUCUCAGUUGGUUCUGCAAGGUCCUAUCUAUGUGACUUUGAGUUUGUUGCAUAACUAUCAAGCCAUACUUCCCUUAUCUCAGAAAUGGUGGUAAUGGUAAUACUUAACUCGUGAGGUUAUUCUGAUGACACAAUGGACAGAAACUUGAAAAUUACUGGCAUGUAAGUGGUAGUUAAUGUUAGAUAUUGUCUUAGUCAAUUGAGAAUGCUGCAACUGAAUACUUUAAAAUGAGUGCUUAAACAAAACACAUUUCACAGUUCUGGGGGCCAGGAAGUCCAAGAUCAGGGUGCCAGCAUGGUCAAGGUUUUGGUGGGAACCUUCUUCCUGGUUUUCAUUUGGCUUUCUUUUUGUUGUGUCUCACGUGGCAGAGAUCAGAAAGAGAGAAAGCAAGCAAGUCCCUUUGUGUUUCUUUUUCUAGGGCACUAAUCCCAUUCAGGGCUUCAUCCUUUUGACCAAAAAUUGCCUCCAAAAAGCCCAUCUUUAAAUACCAUCACACUGGGGAUUAGAUUUGAACAUAUGAAUUUUGAAAGACACAAACAUUCAGGUCAGGGCAGGUAUUGUUAUUAUCUAUCUCCUGCUCCCUUCUCAUCUAAAAGACGCUCUACCUAUAGACAUACUAUUGAAAAUAUAUUUUAGAACGCUCUCUUGUCUCAUUAUACUCUUUUAUUAUCAGUCCUUAACAUCAACCUCAUCUCCAGGAAAGAUUUUAAAGGAUGCCCUUAGUGUCAAGAGAAAGCUAAAUGUUCUUUCAGAAAUAUGGGCAAAAUACUUACAUAUCUACAGAUACUCAUAUGCUGUUCAUGAAUGUAUAAACUGGUAGAACGUUUUCAGAGAGCAAUAUGGCAAUAUGAACAGUAGUCCACUCUUUUUACUAAAUAUAUCUAUUAAUGGAACAGAUGAGAAAACCCAGAAAUAAUCUCAAAUGCACAUAGAAUUUGGUGUAUGAUGAAGAUGACAUUUCAAGUUAAUAGAGUACAGAUGAAUUAUCAAUGAAUUUAAUUGGGACAACUGGGUAGCCAUCUGAUAAAAUAUUAAGUUGGAUCCUUAUGCCAUUUCUUAUGCCAAAAUAAAUUUCAGGAGGAUAAAAUAUACAACUGUGAAAAAGGAAUCCAUAAAAGUGUGAUGAGAAAGCUUGGGGACAAUAAUUUAUAAUGUCAAAGUGAGGAAAAACGUCCCACUAAGAUGUCUUAAAAUUUGUUUCCAUAAAUGUAUGAUUUGUUAAAUGGUAAAAGGCAUGAAAAAUAUUACCAUGUGAAACACAGCCCACAUUUGUGAAAACUGUGACUAAUAUUUCUGCAAGCAGAUUCAUCUGCCAACUUGGGAUUUGUAAGUAAAAAAGUUUCAAUGGACUGUUUUGGUUCCAUCUUGUAUUUCAAAACGCCUUCCACGGAGAAAAAUGCCCAUAAUAUGGGAAGAUUGUGACCCUGUGGUGUACAGUGGAUUAGACACUGGAUGCAAAGAAACUUUCACUUUGCCCCUUCCUGGAUUUUCUGUUUCAGAGUAUGCGGAGGGCAGCCCAGAGAAGCACUAAUCUGGAAAAACAAAAGAAAACAAUUUUUUUCCUCAGUAUUUCCCAAAAUUUCCUAUCUGAAAGCAUUGAGUUUUUAAUUUUUUGAAACAAUAAUAUUGUGUAUAUAUUAUAUGUUGUGAACACCCCCUUCAUAGCAUAUGGGGCUACAUUCUAUAACCAGAUAUGUUUU
Long non-coding RNA from Heterocephalus glaber (naked mole-rat), 3366 nucleotides. Lineage: Eukaryota; Metazoa; Chordata; Mammalia; Rodentia; Bathyergidae. The record is from Ensembl.